UCUCUGAGUGUGAUCUGCGCACUUCCGGACCCCAGGCUGGACUCGCCGUGGUUAGCACCUCAGACCCGGUCGGUUCUGGGGUCGUCCGCUGCCGCUCGGAUCGGCGGUCCCCUCCGCUGCCGGCUGUGGAGAGGGCACGUGUGGCGCAAUCCACGGCCGCAGAGCCGGGAGGGCACCAGGGUCCUGGUGGGCGGCUCCGUCUGACGUCUGCUGCGGAGGGUCGGGAUUCCUGUCUGGUUUGGAGGGGGGCCGCGGGCAAGCGGGGUCUCACUGCUUCUCUGUCCUCCCGCAGCUCGGCCUCUUUGGAGCCCACCAUCCGCAGGGGGCUAGUGCAGGGGACCCAGUGACAACCUUGGCCCCGGUCCCUGAACUCCGCUCAGGCGACUGGGCCUCCUGUGGGCGAGGAGGGACUGCUGAGGAAAGGCCCCCCCUUCUCUCCGACCCUCCCUCAGUCCUGCGGACCCCACAUCACAGGCAACGGUUUUCUUAGUGUCUUUGCAAAGGCUUAGAAUCAGACUGGAACUAAGGCGGCUCAGUCCUGUCUGCAUAUUCAAGCUUGUUUCUACCCCCAGAGAGUCUGGGAGGCUCGGAGGUGAGGCCGGAGCUGAACCUCCAGCAGACGAGUUUUAGUGUCUCUGCAGACUUCUUGGAUCAAACUCCAGUGUGUCUCUAUCCUGAGUAGGAACAUACCUAAGACCAACCUCGUGUGUAUUCAGGAGAGAGAUAGGUGUGGGGUCCAGUUGAUGCUUCCAGCCACAGUAAAUUUGCUCCUGAACCUUCGUGUUCCUGUUCCCUGGGAAAAUGAGGAAAGGAGAAGGAGGGCUCAGGAGAAGUCACCAGAUCUUGUCCCAUGUUUGGUGUCUGCUCUUCCCAGACCAGCAGGGAAGGACCAUGUGCCAGGGGCCAUUGUCAUUCAGAGAUGUGGCUGUGGGUUUCACUCGUAAAGAAUGGCAGCAGCUGGACCCUACACAGAGGACCCUGUACCGGGAUGUGAUGCUGGAGAACUAUAGCCACCUGGUCUCAGUGGGGUGUCAGGUCACGAAACCAGCUGUGAUCUCCAGGUUGGAGCAGGGUCAAGAACCAUGGAUGGAGGAGGAAGAAAUCCUUGGAUGGAGCUUUCCAGGCAACUGUUCUUAAAAGCCUUGGAUCUUUGCAAGCAGCUGUGGACAUUUGGCCCAAGACCUUGAGAUGCCCACAUGAUUCCUGUUACCUGCACUCAUCACAUGCCACUGCAUGAUUCCUCUCCUUUCCCUGGAUUUUUAGAGAAAGACAAAUUCUAUUUUUAUUUAUCCUUUGAUUCUACCCUGUUGUCCCCUAAGACCUUGCUUGCUCAGUCUGUCUCUAGAAUCUUCAAUCUUAUGCUUUUCCCCAUGGUUAUGAAAUAGACUUUCUCAUACUUUCAGGGAUUUGUAGAUUUGCCCUAUUUUAAAAUAACUGUGUUAUUUUGUGCCAUUCAUUUUUACUUUAGUUGUUUUUUCUUUUUCUUCUUUUACUGUGAAAUGCCUCGAAAACUUAUCUGCUACCUUUUAUAUGACUUUAAUUUCCUCUUCUUUGAAAACCAUAUAAUAUGGCCCCCUUUUGCCUAAUAGCUCAUAACUGAAGCUUUCCCCCUACCUCAGUAUAAUCCCAUGGGGAGAAGAGCCUUUAUUUUAUUUGUCCUUGUUUCUGUGGGAUGCACAUGGUGGACAUUGACUAACUCCCUCUUCCUUCCAGGACAAGGAUCCUUUAUCAAGCAUAUGUUCAGGGCAGUUGUUGUUAAUCAGGGUUUCACACCAGAAUCACCUGGGGAGCUUGAAAAAUACCCCCAGGUGGGGUCCCAACCCAGAAAGUCCUCGUGAGGGAAGAUCAGUAGACAUCGAUUUUGUCUCUUAGGAAUUCAGGAGUGGGGCUUAAACAUUUCUAAACAGAGGAGUUCCCUGGUUGGAUUGGGUAUGAGUGCCAGGGGGAAACAGCAGGUACAGUCUGUGGUUUAAAACGUAAGUGAAGACAAAAGCAAAUAAGGAUCUAAGCAAAGGAUGAAGAAUACAACAUUUAAGAUUCUCAAAGUAGAUUCACAGUGAUCUGGAAACCAACACGUGUGAGGAACGUUAAUAUGGGUUUACUGAGGGGCUGGUCUGCAGCCAAGUCUGUCAGACAUGGGAAGGUGACACAUAGGAUUUGGUUGUCAGCCAGAUUUGGUAUCAGGGAACCAUGACUGAAGAAAGUGGUCAUCCACAUGAUCAGAAUACAAUGGGGAGUCUUCUGGGGGAAGGAUGGCUUGCGUUCUGCCUAGGGUGCUUAUUCUUAUAUCCUUACACUGGACAUCCUAAAGACCUUGUAGGUCCAUGUGAGAAUAAAUCACUGCAGAAUGGACCUCUGGCUCUGAGAUAAUUCCUUUAACAAUAAUGGUCUUGAUGCUUUGAGAAAAUUCAUCUGGUAUGCAGAAUGAAGGGGAACUUAAGGUGGGAAGGACACAGAAGUGCAGACUAGUGAAGAGCCUAUUUGUAACCCAGGAAUAAAGUGAGGUAACUCACACUAGGUUUUACUUCUUUCAACCUGAGUCCUUUGCUCAUAUUUCCAAAACACCCUUCUCUCUCUAGAUUUCCCUGGAAACACUAGUCUUUCUUUGCUCUUGCCUUGCUUGAAUAUCCUUAUCUCCUGAUGGGACCUCCUUAUUAUGUGCCCCUCUUAUUGAGUGAUGGAUGCUAGAGCCAGUGCUGGCCUGUGAUAGCCUAUUGUACCUGACUCUUCCCAGCUGUGCACUCAGUGACAUCACCUUAGUAGCUUGAAACUGGCGCUGGUGGGGGGGCGUGUUUUCACCGUGGAAAUUGGUAAAUACCACAGAUCAGGGUUCUCCUCCUCCUGGUUAGCUGGUUCUUCAGCACCUCAAUGCCUUGAAUACAUUACCCUUCCAGUUUUUCUCUGUUACUUACUUUUCCUCAUGUGUGUUUUUAUCUGCUUCCCAAUUUACUGUGUCAGACUUGUCCAUAGCAAAGCUACUUCCAUUCAUUGUUAAUGUUUUAUCUAUAUUUCCAGUAUCUGAUUUUUUCUUUUCAAAAGCCAAGGGAGUAGGAAGUGUUUGUAGUAGGAUUAGGAUUAGGAUUAGGAUUACUUAAUCUGGUCAUUGAGGUGUGAAACCUCAAAGUUAAUCCUCCCUCCAAACGUUUCUGAAAUAAUUUAGGUCUGUGAUGUGAUCUUGGAAAGAUUAACAAGUUUGUGUCAUUAUUUUUUUUUCCUAGAAGAAGUUUUGCAAGUUGAUACCCAAGUAGAUAGACAACAGGAACACCAAGACAGACUUUUGAGGCAAGUUGCAUUCCUAGACAAGAACAAAUUGACCAAAAAAGACCACCAUGAAUGUAAUACAAUUGGAAAAAAAACCUGUCAGAGCACAAACCUUGGACCUUCAAGACAACAGGUCCACAAAUGUGACUCAUGUGGAAUGAGUUUGAAAUGUAAUAUAGACUUUAGUCAUAAUGCAUACCUUGCAAGAAGGAGAUUUGAGUGUGAUGGACAGGGGACCUUAUUUCUCUAUUCUAAGCUUGAAACCCCACAUUCUGGAGUACAUUCACGUGAAUGUAACCAAUGUAGAAAAGUUUUUAGCCAUGAUCAAGCCCUUAAUGCUGAUCAGGGAAUUGACAGUGGUGAGACACCCCAUGAAUGUACCAAAUGUGGAAAAGCCUUUUCCCACAGAUCAGAACUCGUUACACAUCAGAGGGUCCACAGAGGUGAGAAAUCCGAUGGAUGCAAUGAACAGGGGGAUGGCUUCAGGGAGAAAGUUUGCCUCAACAAAUGGGGAAAUCACACAAAAGAGAAACCAAAUGGAAACAGCGACUGUGGCAAAACGCUUUCCCAGAAGACAAGCCUGUCUAUACCUGAGACAAUUCUUGCUGGAGAGAAGCCUUAUAAGUGUACAGAAUGUGAGAAAACCUUCUCCCACAAGUCACGUCUCAUCGAACAUCACAGAUCUCAUACGGGAGAGAAGCCCUACGGCUGCAAAGAAUGUGGGAAGUCUUUCUCCCGGAAGUCAUGCCUCAUUAUCCAUUACAGAAUCCACACGGGAGAGAAGCCCUAUGGAUGCAGUGAAUGUGGGAAAGCCUUUUUCCAGAAGUCACACCUCAUUCUGCAUCAGAGGACUCACACAGGAGAGAAACCCUAUGAGUGCAGUGAAUGUGGGAAAGCUUUCUCCCAGAACUCAUGCCUUAUUAUACACAAGAGAACUCAUAUGGGAAAGAAACCCUACGAAUGCUCUGACUGUGGGAAAACAUUCUCUCAGAAGGCAAACCUCAUCAGACAUCACAGAAUUCACACUAGGGAGAAACUGUAUGGAUGAAGUGAGAGGAGGUUUCAUCAAGAAGUCACAACACAUCUAGGAAUGAAAACUGUGGAUAUUCUGGAUGUGGGAAAUCCUUCAGCAAGAAGUCCAGUGCCACUGUGUGCAGAGGUUCACACCGAGGUGCAAUUCUCCCAAUUUGGAGAAUUAGGAGAAACUCGGUCUCUUAAAACCAGUGAUAGGAUACUUAUGCUCUAGAGUGAUAUAUUUUUAUAGGAUAUACUUAAUUAUAAUGUGUAUCUAUAUCUAUAUGAACUGUGGAUAUUGAGCUUUGAAGUAUGUGAAUAAAUUAAAUCAUUAAGACAACAGAUCUAAUCAGCAUCAGAACAAUCCCAGGGGUUAUAGGAGUUAUGUUCCUACAUAGAAAGAAUUUUAUUAUUUUUGAACUGCAUUGGUAAUUGAAUGUAAUUGUGAACUUGUAGACAUAAUAUAUAGAAUGACAUCUAUCAACGCUUUCCACACUAAAUCAUACCUUUUUGUCUUUGUAAUAUACUUUAUAACUGGAACAAUAUGAAUUUAUUAUUAAACCAGAAGUCCACACACCAUACCACAUACCAUUGCUCUUAAUGUUUGUUGGCAAGUAUUACAGAGCCCCCUGGAUCUGGAAACCAACAAUUUCAUGAGAUCUUCUGGUCUCUCUCAAUCAACUAGUUUAUAGGUUAUGUUUAUAUUAAAUGUGUAAGGUUAGGACUCCCUUUUCUGGCAAUAUAUGGUGGGCUAUCUAAAGUGAAAACGAUAUCACCGUAAACAACUAGAAAUGAUGGACGAUAACAGAUAACAUUCUUUAAAUGCAUAAUUCAGCUUGCAAGAAAAUAAGUGAAGUUUCCAGGUGCCAGCUAGGAAGAGGGAACUGAAAACCAGAAAUCCUGUUUGAGUCGAUGCUGUAGCUAUCCUAUGGCUUUAACUUUGUUUACCCAGAAGCUUGGGUGUUAUAGACUAUAGAGGGACGAGAAAGAAGGCCUUGGAGCCACACAAGGCAGAGAGUUGGCCCUGAAAUAACUCAAAUUGAGAAAUUUCAAAAGUAUGUACAUAUAGUUAAAGGGGGGACUAGAGAAAAAUCUCAUUUGCAGAGGAAGCUUGUCUGUCUCUUCUUGGGCUCAGAUGGGGAAAGAGUUUACCUUGAUGAUUUAUAAGCCCUGACCUGCACCUCAUGUAAGUUAGAAUUUUGAAUUUGCCCUAUUCAUGUCACAGGUUUUCAGUUGAAAAACUUCACAAUUACUGGUCUUUGAAACAACUUACAGAGGCGAACCCAAAAUAUGUUUGGAGGCAGAUAACGUCAACCCAUGUUUCUUAGGAUUCUG
Diceros bicornis minor is the source of this 5610-nucleotide RNA transcript. It is a transcript of the gene named zinc finger protein OZF-like, with no coding region annotated. NCBI's taxonomy places the organism in Eukaryota, Metazoa, Chordata, Mammalia, Perissodactyla, Rhinocerotidae. The record is from RefSeq and is a predicted model, not a curated record. The transcript is spliced from 8 exons.